AUGGACUGGGAGGGACCCCCCCAGCUCUGUGUGCCCCCAAUACCCCAUGGACCUCCCCAAAUAUCCCCAAAUUCCCCCCCAGAUCCCCCCAUAACCCCUCGAAUUCGCCCCCAAAUUCCCCCAGACCUCCCCAAAUUCCCCCAAAUCCCCCCCAAAUUCCCCCAAAUCCCCCCCAAAUCCCCCCAAAUUCCCCCAAAUCCCCCCCAAAUUCCCCCAAAUCCCCCAAGACCUCCCCAAAUUCCCCCAGAUCCCCCUCGAAUUCCCCCCCAAAUUCCCCCAAAUUCCCCCAGACCUCCCCAAAUUCCCCCAAAUCCCCGCAGACUUCCCCAGAUCCCCCUCGAAUUCGCCCCCAAAUUCCCCCAAAUCCCCCCCGGCCUCCCCAAAUUCCCCCAAAUUCCCCCAGACCUCCCCAAAUUCCCCAUAACCCCUCGAAUUUGCCCCCAAAUUCCCCCAAAUCCCCCCAGAUCCCCCUCGAAUUCCCCCCCAAAUCCCCCCAGACCUCCCCAAAUUCCACCAAAUCCCCCCAAAAUUCCCCCAAAUCCCCCCCAGACCUCCCCAGAUCCCCCUCGAAUUCGCCCCCAAAUUCCCCCAAAUCCCCCCCGCCCUCCCCAAAUUCCCCCAAAUCCCCCCAGACCUCCCCAAAUUCCCCCAAAUCCCCCCCGGCCUCCCCAAAUUCCCCCCAAAUCCCCCCAGACCUCCCCAAAUUCCCCCAUAACCCCUCGAAUUCCCCCCCAAAUUCCCCGAAAUUCCCCCAGACCUCCCCAAAUUCCCCCAAAUCCCCGCAGACUUCCCCAGACCUCCCCAAAUUCCCCCAAAUCCCCCCCGGCCUCCCCAAAUUCCCCCAAAUCCCCCCAGACCUCCCCAGAUCCUCCCAUAACCCCUCGAAUUCGCCCCCAAAUUCCCUCAAAUCCCCCCAGACCUCCCCAAAUUCACCCAAAUCCCCCCCAAAUUCCCCCAAAUCCCCCCAGACCUCCCCAAAUUCCCCCAAAUCCCUCCAGACCUCCCCAAAUUCACCCAAAUCCCUCCAGACCUCCCCAAAUUCCCCCAAAUCCCCCCAGAUCCCCCUCGAAUUCUCCCCCAAAUCCCCCCAGACCUCCCCAAAUUCCCCCAAAUCCCUCCAGACCUCCCCAAAUUCACCCAAAUCCCUCCAGACCUCCCCAAAUUCCCCCAAAUCCCCCCAGAUCCCCCUCGAAUUCCCCCCCAAAUCCCCCCAGACCUCUCCAAAUUCCCCCAAAUCCUCCCAGACCUCCCCAGAUCCCCCUCGAAUUCGCCCCCAAAUCCCCCCAAAUCCCCCCAGACCUCCCCAAAUUCACCCAAAUCCCCCCCAAAUCCCCCCAAUCCCCCCCAGACCUCCCCAAAUUCCACCAAAUCCCCCCAAAAUUCCCCCAAAUCCCCCCCAGACCUCCCCAGAUCCCCCUCGAACUCCCCAAAUUCCCCCAAAUCCCCCCAGAUCCCCCUCGAAUUCCCUCCCAAAUCCCCCCCGGCCUCCCCAAAUUCCCCCAAAUCCCCCCAGACCUCCCAAAUCCCCCCCAAAUCCCCCCCAUAUCCUCCCCAGAACCCCACGUCCCCCCCCCCCCCCGUGUCCCCCAUUACCACCCCCAGACCCCCCAAAUCCCCCUCGGACCCCCUCAAAUCCCUCCCAUGACCCCUCAGACUCCCCCAGACCCCAAAUAUCCUCCCAGACCCCCCCCCCAUCCCUCCCAGUUCCCACACACGGGGGUCCCAGGCACCCCUGGACCUGAGUUUGGGGGUCCUGGGCCACCCCAAAACCCAGCACCGAGGUCCCUGGUACCCCAAUUCCCACAUGCGGGGGUCCCUGGCACCCCCCGCCCCCAAAUUUGGGGGUCCCUGGCACCCCCCACCCCCAAAUUUGGGGGUCCCUGGCACCCACCCCCAUGA
RNAcentral lists this long non-coding RNA (1899 nucleotides) under Corvus moneduloides (New Caledonian crow). RNAcentral's name for it is "lncRNA (ENSCMUG00000017942.1)". The record is from RNAcentral. Lineage: Eukaryota; Metazoa; Chordata; Aves; Passeriformes; Corvidae.